Molecule: non-coding RNA, 117 nt
Organism: Aedes aegypti (yellow fever mosquito)
Lineage: Eukaryota; Metazoa; Arthropoda; Insecta; Diptera; Culicidae
Source: Rfam
UGCCCAGCAACUCCUAUCCCUACCUCCUCGUGCUACUGGCCGGGGUACGAGUAACCUUGGGGAAGAUCGGGUAACCAACCCCCGGUGGGAACUUUGGUCGUAUGCUGACAGGGAAGG